This 460-nucleotide ribosomal RNA is filed under the name uncultured bacterium. Its description in RNAcentral is "partial 16S ribosomal RNA". It matches the Rfam family "Bacterial small subunit ribosomal RNA", at positions 338 to 795 of the family's 1533-position model. The record is from RNAcentral.
CCUACGGGUGGCAGCAGUGAGGAAUAUUGGUCAAUGGGCGAGAGCCUGAACCAGCCAAGUCGCGUGAAGGAUGACGGCCCUACGGGUUGUAAACUUCUUUUGUCAGGGAGCAAUUGGGUCCACGCGUGGGCUUAGCGAGAGUACCUGAAGAAAAAGCAUCGGCUAACUCCGUGCCAGCAGCCGCGGUAAUACGGAGGAUGCGAGCGUUAUCCGGAUUUAUUGGGUUUAAAGGGUGCGCAGGCGGUCUGUUAAGUCAGCGGUCAAAGCCCGGGGCUCAACCCCGGCCCGCCGUUGAAACUGGCAGUCUCGAGUUGGAGAGAAGUAUGCGGAAUGCGCGGUGUAGCGGUGAAAUGCAUAGAUAUCGCGCAGAACUCCGAUUGCGAAGGCAGCAUGCCGGCUCCACACUGACGCUGAGGCACGAAAGCGUGGGUAUCGAACAGGAUUAGAUACCCUAGUAGUC